CUUUAGCACUAGGUAAGCUUAUUAUUAAUCGAAGCUGCAAAAUAAAUGUGUCUAGACUAUCUGGGCCAUUGCUCUGUAGGAAUUAAGUGACCUCGUCUCGUGUGUGGGUAAGAGACCAAUUUGAUCAGAUUGCGAAAGAGACGAGGGUGUGCGUUAUCAAUCCUCGUUAAACAGUUUUACCAUAAAGUGUUUGACUUCCCGGGCAGGUCGUCGGGCCACCAAAGCGGUUUAUCCAUCUCUCCACUGAGGAUCAAAAUUAUCAUGGCAUGUCUUCGGGCCACUAAAGCGGUGUAUCCAUCUCUCUACUGAGGAUCAAAAUUAUCAUGGCAUGUCUUCGGAUCAUCCUCUGGGAUGUUUCUCUGACCGUCGCCAAUAGCCCAUUGUGUAGCUUUAGUCUGUGCGAUGUAAAUAAAAUGCUGCUAUAUCCUAUUGCAUAGACCAAUUUCGAAAUUUUUAUUUGCCUAAACAAGAACUGAAAUAAUUAAAAUGCUUAGAAAUGA
Molecule: long non-coding RNA, 500 nt
Organism: Parasteatoda tepidariorum (common house spider)
Lineage: Eukaryota; Metazoa; Arthropoda; Arachnida; Araneae; Theridiidae
Source: RefSeq, a predicted model, not a curated record